UACGUAGGGGGCAAGCGUUGUCCGGAAUCAUUGGGCGUAAAGCGCGUGUAGGCGGUCCGGUAAGUUCGCUGUGAAAGUCGGGGGCUUAACCCUCGGAUGCCGGUGAAUACUGUCGGGCUUGAGUACGGAAGAGGCGAGUGGAAUUCCUGGUGUAGCGGUGAAAUGCGCAGAUAUCAGGAGGAACACCAAUUGCGAAGGCAGCUCGCUGGGACGUUACUGACGCUGAGACGCGAAAGCGUGGGGAGCAAACAGG
RNAcentral lists this ribosomal RNA (253 nucleotides) under uncultured bacterium. RNAcentral describes it as "partial 16S ribosomal RNA". It matches the Rfam family "Bacterial small subunit ribosomal RNA", at positions 524 to 776 of the family's 1533-position model. The record is from RNAcentral.